RNAcentral lists this long non-coding RNA (673 nucleotides) under Mytilus galloprovincialis (Mediterranean mussel). Lineage: Eukaryota; Metazoa; Mollusca; Bivalvia; Mytilida; Mytilidae. The record is from RNAcentral.
CCCCGCUUUAAAAAAGGGGAAGGUAUACUGUUUUACCUCUGUCUGUCAGUCCGUCCGUCCAUCAGUCCGUCCGUCCAUCAGUCCGUCCGUCAGUCAGUCCGUCCCAUGAAACUUUCGUCACAUUUUUCUCAGGAACUACACAUCCACCCUUUCUGUAAUUUGGUAUCAACAUUUAUAUAUGUCAGCCACACCGUGUGAUGCGUUUUCAGAUUCAUCACUUGACAACUUCCUGUUUACCGAACACUUGUCUGAUUUUACACAUGAUAGCCAAGUUGAAAAUUUUCGUCACAUUUUUCUCAGGAACUACAAUACAAGGAUUUCUGAAAUUUGGUUUCAGGAUUUAUAUUAGUCAGCUAUACCGUGUGAUGCGUUUUAAGAUUCAUCACUCGACAACUUCCUGUUUACCGAACACUUGUAUGAUUUUACACAUGAUAGCCAAGUUGAAAAUUUUCGUCACAUUUUUCUCAGGAACUACAAUACAAGGAUUUCUGAAAUUUGGUUUCAGGAUUUUUAUAAGUCAGCUAUACCGUGUGAUGCGUUUUCAGAUUCAUCACUCGACAACUUCCUGUUUACAGAACACUUGCAUAUUUUUACACUAUUAAUAUUAUCCACUUGCGGCGGGGGUAUCAUCAGUGAGCAGUAGCUCGCAGUUUCACUUGUUAUUAAUAUGCUU